UUGCCUUAGUAACGGCGAGUGAAGCGGCAACAGCUCAAAUUUGAAAUCUGGCUUCGGCCCGAGUUGUAAUUUGUAGAGGAUGUUUAUGGUGCGGUACCUUCCGAGUUCCCUGGAACGGGACGCCACAGAGGGUGAGAGCCCCGUCUGGUUGGAUACCAAACCUGUGUUAAACUCCUUCAACGAGUCGAGUAGUUUGGGAAUGCUGCUCUAAAUGGGAGGUAAAUCUCUUCUAAAGCUAAAUACCGGCCAGAGACCGAUAGCGCACAAGUAGAGUGAUCGAAAGAUGAAAAGCACCUUGAAAAGGGGGUUAAACAGUACGUGAAAUUGUUGAAAGGGAAGCGUUUAUGACCAGACUUGUGCCGUGUGGCUCAUCCGAGGUUCUCCCCGGUGCACUCCACACGGUUCAGGCCAACAUCGGUUUUCGCCGGGGGAUAAGAACAGUAGGAACGUAGCUCCCCUCGGGGAGUGUUAUAGCCUAUUGUACGAUACCCUGGCGGGGACCGAGGACCGCGCUUCGGCUAGGAUGUUGGCGUAAUGGUCAUUAGCGACCCG
Molecule: ribosomal RNA, 552 nt
Filed under: Asteroma sp. 8Ah9-1
Lineage: Eukaryota; Fungi; Ascomycota; Sordariomycetes
Description: eukaryotic LSU rRNA
Rfam family: Eukaryotic large subunit ribosomal RNA
Source: RNAcentral